This 209-nucleotide ribosomal RNA is filed under the name uncultured eukaryote. RNAcentral's name for it is "partial large subunit ribosomal RNA". It matches the Rfam family "Eukaryotic large subunit ribosomal RNA", at positions 40 to 256 of the family's 3401-position model. The record is from RNAcentral.
AUAUUACUAAGCGGAGGAGAAGAAAUUAACUAAGAUUGCCUUAGUAAGGGCGACUGAACCGGCAAAAGCUCAAAAUUAAAAUCGAAAGUUCAAUGAAUUUUCGAAUUGUAAUCAGGGUACCCGAAAUACGAGAGGUCACUCAACUGUUAUGAAUGCAGGCCAAAGAGGGUGCAGGCCCCGUGCAGUGAUCUCGAAGAAAAGGGGACUCG